CCUACGGGUGUCUGCAGUGGGGGAUAUUUCACAAUGGGGGGAACCCUGAUGCAGCGACGCCGCGUGGGUGAAGAAGCGCCUCGGCGCGUAAAGCCCUGUCAGCAGGGAAGAAAAUGACGGUACCUGAAGGAGAAGCCCCGGCUAACUACGUGCCAGCAGCCGCGGUAAAGCGUAGGGGGCAAGCGUUAUCCGGAUUUACUGUGUGUAAAGGGGGCGCAGACGGGGUUGCAAGCCAGAAGGGAAAGCGCGGGGCCCAACCUCGGGACUGCUCUUGGAACUGCGUGGCUGGAGUGCAGGAGGGGCAGGCGGAAUUCCUGGUGUAGCGGUGAAAUGCGUAGAUAUCAGGAGGAACACCGGUGGCGAAGGCGGCCUGCUGGACUGCAACUGACGUUGAGGCCCGAAAGCGUGGGGAGCAAACAGGAUUAGAUACCCUAGUAGUC
RNAcentral lists this ribosomal RNA (440 nucleotides) under uncultured bacterium. Its description in RNAcentral is "partial 16S ribosomal RNA". It matches the Rfam family "Bacterial small subunit ribosomal RNA", at positions 338 to 795 of the family's 1533-position model. The record is from RNAcentral.